CUUAGUAGCUGGUCAUCACAACAACAAAAAAUCAUUAAAUGUGCUUGCCUAAAGGACGCAGAUUUGCACGAUCGAGGUUUUUGGUGGAAGUAUCCGAAAAAGCAAGUUUUUCCAGUUGGGUAUAAACUGCUACAAUCAUUAAAAGUCCUCUGUGGCCAACACAAAAGCGUCUACGGCGGAUCUUGUCUUCAGCUGAGCAGCCGAGGAGCAGCGCCCGGGCGGGCGGCGCGUCCCGGCGGAGGAGUCCCUGCUCGGCGGCGAUGGAAACGCGCUCGGCGAGGGCUCCGGCACCGGCACCGGCGGGAGUUUCGAGUUUCCACUGGCGGCGGGGGGGGGGCGGGGGGCGGGGGCGCGGGGCGCGGGGGAGGUGGCGACGGGCGCACAGCUAGCUCCGGGCGGGGCGCCCCGCUGCCCGGCCUGCCCGCGCCCCUCCGGAGGGGCUCCCCGCGGGGCUCCCGCGCCGCCGCCGGCCCUCGCGAGUCCCCCAGCCCGCUCCGCGACCCCCGGCGACGCCGUGUGCGGAGGGGGAGGGGAGGGGAGGGGAGGGGAGGGGAGCGGAGGGGGCGGGGCGGCCCUCACGGCGCGGCGGCGGCGGCCCUCACGGCGGCGGCCCUCACGGCGGCGGCGGCGGCGGCGGCGGCGUGGGCGCUCAGGCCGCGGCGCGAGGCCGGCCGGCCGGCAGGGGGAGGCGGGGGGCGCGGGGCAGCCCCGCCUUUCCCCCGAGGAGCCGCCGGGCGGCCAUAUUGCGGAGCUGUCUGCGGCGGUGGCGGCGCCUCUCGUCUCCGGCGGCCCAGCGUCCCCCCACAGCCUCUCCCCGCCGGCCGCGGCCGCACGCCCGUCGCCGCCGCGCAGCGCCCCGGCCGCGCUCGGGGCGGGAAGCAGCCGCCUGUUCGCAGGGUAAGCCGCGGGCGCCCUCCCUUCCCCGCUGCCUCUCCCCGGCGGCGCCAAGUUGCGGCGGCCCGCGCUGCCCGGGGCCGCGCCGCGAGGGCCUGGCGCGCCUCUCGGUUGGCGCCGCGCGGGCCAGGCCGCCCUCCGGGGCCGGCGGCGGCGGCGCGCCCCGGAGCAGCCGCCGCGCGUGUGUGGCCGGGGUGGGCCCCGCACCCCCAGCCCCGCCGCCUGGGCGCGGCCCGGCCCGGCCCGGCCCUCGGGCGCCCUCAGCACCCGGCAGCGCGGGCAGAAUUGCGUCUCGCGGGUAGGGGCGGGGGCGCGUUAGACCCCCCGGGCCGCAGACUGAAAGGAGGGGCGUGGAAUUACUAG
RNAcentral lists this long non-coding RNA (1257 nucleotides) under Canis lupus familiaris (dog). Its description in RNAcentral is "lncRNA (ENSCAFG00030016223.1)". The record is from RNAcentral. Lineage: Eukaryota; Metazoa; Chordata; Mammalia; Carnivora; Canidae.